This 429-nucleotide ribosomal RNA is filed under the name Bacteroidota bacterium. Its description in RNAcentral is "Bacteroidetes bacterium partial 16S ribosomal RNA". It matches the Rfam family "Bacterial small subunit ribosomal RNA", at positions 355 to 776 of the family's 1533-position model. The record is from RNAcentral. Lineage: Bacteria; Pseudomonadati; Bacteroidota.
UAGGGAAUCUUCCGCAAUGGACGCAUGUCUGACGGAGCAACGCCGCGUGAGUGAAGAAGAAUUUCGGUUCGUAAAACUCUGUUGUUAGAGAAGAACAGCGCAUAGAGUAACUGUUAUGCGUGUGACGGUAUCUAACCAGAAAGCCACGGCUAACUACGUGCCAGCAGCCGCGGUAAUACGUAGGUGGCAAGCGUUGUCCGGAUUUAUUGGGCGUAAAGCGAGCGCAGGCGGUCAAUUAAGUCUGAUGUGAAAGCCCCCGGCUCAACCGGGGAAGGUCAUUGGAAACUGGUUGACUUGAGUGCAGAAGAGGAGAGUGGAAUUCCAUGUGUAGCGGUGAAAUGCGUAGAUAUAUGGAGGAACACCAGUGGCGAAGGCGACUCUCUGGUCUGUAACUGACGCUGAGGUUCGAAAGCGUGGGUAGCAAACAGG